Empidonax traillii (willow flycatcher) is the source of this 397-nucleotide long non-coding RNA. RefSeq lists it as uncharacterized. Lineage: Eukaryota; Metazoa; Chordata; Aves; Passeriformes; Tyrannidae. The transcript is spliced from 2 exons. The record is from RefSeq and is a predicted model, not a curated record.
UCCGUUACUACCACCCAGUACCGGGAGUGGUUGUGUGGAUUCCUAUAAAGCCAGUCCCACGAAGGGUGCUCUCAGGGCAGUUCCUCGUUAGUAUAGUGAGUUUCUUUUUACGGGAACCUGAGAAGCCCUGGAGUCAGCAGUCCCUGAGGUGAAGGGACCCGAGCACCUGCUUCUUACCUACCUAAAAAAGGAACGAGGGAAAUGGAAACCAGCUACUCUGAGAUUUGAGAGUAAAAGGCUGGACACAGACUGACCAUCUGUCUUGAUGCUGACCCGGUCAGCAGGAACAUGGUUGUAAGUUUGUAUGGCAGUGACAUUAGACAGGAAACUAUAUUUAAUUUGCUGGCUUCUUAGAUGAAGAAUUAACACCCCAUAAUAAACAAGCACUUAGAACAAA